UACGGGGGGAGCAAGCGUUGUUCGGAUUUACUGGGCGUAAAGGGCGCGUAGGCGGCGUGACAAGUCACUUGUGAAAUCUCCGGGCUUAACUCGGAACGGUCAAGUGAUACUGUCGUGCUAGAGUACAGAAGGGGCAACUGGAAUUCUCGGUGUAGCGGUGAAAUGCGUAGAUAUCGAGAGGAACACCUGCGGCGAAGGCGGGUUGCUGGGCUGAUACUGACGCUGAGGCGCGAAGGCCAGGGGAGCAAACGGG
This 253-nucleotide ribosomal RNA is filed under the name uncultured bacterium. RNAcentral describes it as "partial 16S ribosomal RNA". It matches the Rfam family "Bacterial small subunit ribosomal RNA", at positions 524 to 776 of the family's 1533-position model. The record is from RNAcentral.